GGCUGGCCCAGGCUGUGCCGUAGUGUUUACAACUAAUUGAUCACAGCCCGUUACAGAUUUAUUUGUUCCUUCCCCACUCCCACUGCUUCACUUGACUGGACUUAA
Pongo abelii (Sumatran orangutan) is the source of this 105-nucleotide Y RNA. It matches the Rfam family "Y RNA". Rfam says of the family: Y RNAs are components of the Ro ribonucleoprotein particle (Ro RNP), in association with Ro60 and La proteins. The Y RNAs and Ro60 and La proteins are well conserved, but the function of the Ro RNP is not known. In humans the RNA component can be one of four small RNAs -- hY1, hY3, hY4 and hY5. The record is from Ensembl. Lineage: Eukaryota; Metazoa; Chordata; Mammalia; Primates; Hominidae.